AUGUGGACGCCGCGGCAGAAGCGCCGAUUCGACGAGGACUGCCUCAUCCUCUCCGCCGACCCCCUGGCCGCCAACAAGGCCCGACCCGUCGUCGUCCCCGCCGCCGCCGCCGACGAAGACUUGGCGGUUGUCGCCGAGCGCGGCCCGGUGGCCUGCAGAGAUUUUCCGCACGCGAGGUAUCUCUGCGUCAAGUUCCCCUUCGCCACCACCCCUCACGAGAAGCACUGCGAGCAGUGCUACUGCUUUGUGUGCGACGUUGCUGCUCCGUGCACAACUUGGAGAGGACAUGCCAUGUAUGGGCAUUGCCAUGCUUCAGACCAGGACAAGAUUUGGAAAACCAUGAGAGGAGCGAAGAAGGCGAACCCGUGCAAGACCUACUGA
Molecule: ribosomal RNA, 381 nt
Filed under: Triticum aestivum (bread wheat)
Lineage: Eukaryota; Viridiplantae; Streptophyta; Magnoliopsida; Poales; Poaceae
Description: partial small subunit ribosomal RNA
Source: RNAcentral